This 78-nucleotide transfer RNA is filed under the name Pyrinomonadaceae bacterium. Its description in RNAcentral is "tRNA-Arg". It matches the Rfam family "tRNA". Rfam says of the family: Transfer RNA (tRNA) molecules are approximately 80 nucleotides in length. Their secondary structure includes four short double-helical elements and three loops (D, anti-codon, and T loops). Lineage: Bacteria; Pseudomonadati; Acidobacteriota; Blastocatellia; Blastocatellales; Pyrinomonadaceae. The record is from RNAcentral.
GGGCCGUUAGCUCAGUUUGGAUAGAGCACUGGUCUUCGGAACCAGGUGUCGGGGGUUCAAGUCCCUCACGGCCCGCCA